Cucumis melo (muskmelon) is the source of this 1897-nucleotide long non-coding RNA. RefSeq lists it as uncharacterized. The record is from RefSeq and is a predicted model, not a curated record. NCBI's taxonomy places the organism in Eukaryota, Viridiplantae, Streptophyta, Magnoliopsida, Cucurbitales, Cucurbitaceae. The transcript has 8 exons.
UUGAAGACAUCCAAGUUCCCUUUAUUUUUUUUUCUUUUUUUCUUUUUCCUUCUUCAAUUUGCAGAGAACUUCUAAGAGAGAAUUUGGAAGAAGAAGAGAAAUUUUACUAGAAUUUUUAGGUUGAAGAAGAGGAGGAGAACUCAAGCAAAGUGUAUCAAUGGCUGAAUUUUAGUUCAUUCUGCACAUCACUGGUUUUUAAUUCGGUUUGAACUCUUCAAAAGGAAUUAAGAGAAAACAGGGCAGUUGGUUUUCACUCGAAAUCAGGAGGUCUCUGGUUUUUCUUGUAUUUCAGAGUGUAUCGGUGGAAUUAAAAUCUCUAUUUUGUAUGGGACAAGUUAAAGAGGUCGUGUGCGCGCGAUUCUGGAAGUGGUUCUAUUUUGAGGGUUAUAUGUGUUUAUGCACGGGGAAUCAGAUUUAUAUGUCUUCAGGCCGAGAAGAAUUAAACCGAGCUUAUAGACCAAGGAUCUAGCCCAAGACUGUGAGUGACAAAACUAACUUUGAAAUAUUUUCCAUAAUUGUUAUUAUGAUUGAAUGCGAUAAAUGUUUAUUUACGAAGCCAUUAAAGGUAUUCGAAUUUCAUGACUAUUUUCAAGUAUACAUUUGGAGACUAGAUUUCUUAAAGAAAUUUAUGCUAGCACGUAGAUAUUAAAUGUUUGGAAAGUAUUUAAACAACAAUAUUUUAACCAAAGCAUGAAUUAGUAUGAAGUUUUGUUUUAAGAACUACAAUUUUCCACGAAAGAGCUGAGUAAAGUUCGAGCUUUAUGUAAAAUUAUAAGCAGGCAUGAUUUAAUAUUUUAAGAUGAUUUAUGAAAUUUUCAUUAACUACAUGACUGAGAUCUUGAGCCUGAGGCUAGAGAUUACCGUGUGCACACUGGUUAGAUUCCGUUGUUGACGUUGAGUGUACUCCGAUGCUGUCGUGAGUGCUGGGCAGGCCCCACUACGACAAAGACGAUGGGAGUGCUGGGCGGGCCCUACUACAUCGUAGUGCUUGUAAACGUUGUUGUACUAGGUGUACCCUACACCACGUAGAUUCGUCGUGUUAGGUAUUGAUCGACUUCCCGGUGCCUGAUAGACGUCCUUAGUCUGCGGAAGCUUCAUUAUCGAUUGUCAGUACGUGUUUUGAGUUCGGCAUAGAGUCUGUUGUGUUGUAAUGUAUAUACACCCUUGUAUGUUAUAGAUACUCAAAAGUUUGUAUAAGCUUUAGGAGCUAUAGUUGUGUAAAUUUUGUUGGUUAUAUUUUGAUUAAGGUGCUUUAAGUCUAUCCGUGAAAUCGGUAAAUUUUGAGGUACACUUCAUGUAUGUGUUUGACUAGCUGUGUUUGACUAGCCUAGGAUCUGCUGUGUUUUGUGGCAUGUACAAUAGUUUAUAUACUAGAUUGGCAAGUUCAUCACAUGAAAGUUUUAAGCAGAGUCGACAGAUACAGGUACAAAAAAGCGUUGUUCGUCGGCUUCACGCCAUCUUUCGAUCUAAGGUAGCAGGUAGUCCGGGAGGGGGUGUGACACUCCACUUCGGGUCACGGUGAGUCUUCGGUGAUAGGGGUUUGACGCUCAAGUUCACGGUCCCACGGCAAGUUCAUUUGGGAAUAGCUCCCUUUACUCGGGUGGAUCUGUUGAGCGUGGACUCGAUUGAGGGGCAUAACCAAGUAUCAGGUAAGGGUACAGCGAGGGGUAGACCGACGAGGGGCAAGAAGGAUGCGUGAAGGCCAUAUGGAUGCGUCUGGUUUUCUUUAUGCUUCCGCUGAUGUAUUUUGUUAGAAUAUUUGGUUUUGUGAUUGUGAGUUUGAUGACUUGAGUAUUGUAUUUGAAACUCUCGUGACUGUGAUUUAAAAUAGGGUCCGAAACUGUUUUUGUAAUAUUUCUAACGUUUUUAAUGAAUCGUAACCGGUCCGUUAUGAGUU